AUGAACCCCUCAUCGACCCUGAGUCCGGAUGGUUUGCCAGUAACCUUUUUCAAAUCAUUCUGGCAAACCAUCAAACCAGAGGUCAUAGCCCUCUUCGACGAAUUAUUUUCGGGGACCAUGGACCUUGGGCGCCUGAACUAUGGGAUCAUCACCCUCAUCCCCAAAGUUCCGGGUGCUUCGGACAUCCGCCAGUUUCGUCCUAUCACUGUGAUUAAUGUGAUUUUCCGGGUUUUGGCUAAAGGCUGCACCAAUAGGGUGGCCCUUCUAGCUGACUCUGUCCCCCAUCCCAACCAAUCCUCCUUCAUCCAAGGACGGUUUAUUUUGGAUGGGGUCUUAGUCUUCCACGAAGUCCUUCAUGAAGUCCGGGCCAAGCACCUUCGUGCGGUCUUCCAGAAGCUCGACUUCCAUAAAGCCUAUGAUACGGUUCACUGGCCCUUCCUUCAGGGAGUCUUGCUCCGCACGGGUUUCGACGACCAUUGGGUGACCCGUGUUAUGUAG
RNAcentral lists this ribosomal RNA (498 nucleotides) under Triticum aestivum (bread wheat). Its description in RNAcentral is "partial small subunit ribosomal RNA". The record is from RNAcentral. Lineage: Eukaryota; Viridiplantae; Streptophyta; Magnoliopsida; Poales; Poaceae.